CGUUCACAUCCAUUUCAUUAAUUUAAAUUUACAUAGCUGCCUGUGGCUGGUGGCUGUCACGCUGGGUGGCUGCAGAGAGUCAGCCCGGGCCCAGGCAUGGAGGACAAGUGGACGGGGAGACCCUGGCCUCUCCCCCAGGCAGGGGCAGCUCGGGGGCGGUGGUUGGGCAGCUGGGGCCUCAGGGACUGAGCUGGGGGAUCCCUUGGGGUCUGCUCUGUUGAUGGGGCCGAGCUUGGCUCUUGGUGCCCGUGGCCACCGCCCUACCUGCCUGGCUCCGGGUCUCACCCCAGCUUGGUGGGCAGGAUCAUCACCCGAGCUGAGCUCUUAGUGUUGGCGCGCCGCGGUCCAGCCUGCUGCAUCUCUCCCGGAUCUCUGACCGGCUCCCUCUGCCUGUCCCCGCUCCCCCUGCGCUGUUCCCCACUUUGGGGGAUGGGGGGGUCGACGUCACAUCUGAUCUGCUUGAGAGUCAACGGGGAUGUGUCCUCCUUCCAACCAGGAGGAGUGAGAGGCUGCAGCUAUCCUGGCCUGGGCCCCCCGCAGCCAGAGCUGGGGUGCAGGGACAUUGCUUUUGGAAGUGACCUCAGGGCCCAGGAGUGGGGCUGCGGAGGGAGCACCAGGAGAGGCAGACCAACCCAGGGUGCAGUUGCAAGCUGGGCCCUGCAGUGAGCUGAUGGCAGACCCCCAAAAAAGACAGGUCCAGAUCCUCAUCCCCUGCAGCCUGGGAAUGAGGUCUUAUUUGGAAAAAGGGUCUUUACAGACGUAAUUAAGGAUCUCGAUAUGAGAUCAUCCUGGAUUUAGGGUGGGCCCUGCACCCAAUGACAGGCGUCCUUAUCAGGGAAGGGCAGAGGGAGAUUUGAGACAGAGACACGCGGAGAAGGCCUGCGAUGACCUUCGGAGGCAGAGAUGGCAGUGACGGGAUUUGAGGACGAGGAGAGGCCACAAGCCAAGGAAUGCAGGUGGGCUCCAGAAGCGGACAAGGCCGGGACCCGGGUCCUCCCUUCAGAGGUUCCAGGAGGAGCUGCACCUGACACGCUGACUUUAGCCUGGAGAGACUGAUUUCGGAUUUCCGGCCUCCAGAAUGGGUGCAGGAUGCAGCAGGUCGAGGCUGAAGGUCCCGCCCUGGGACUGACUUCAUGCCCCCAGUGUUCCCAUCGAAUCAGCCCACCCUUCUGGUACCUUCUCAGUCCGGGGCCGGGAUGCUUGGAUAUCCUUGCAGUUCAGACUGGAAAAUCACAUCUUCCUGGCACUUCCACUGCAUCCCUGGAGGAAGAAGGCAUUGAAGAACCAGAGUCCUGGGUUUGAGUUCCUUACUAGCUGUGUGACCUCGGGCAAGUUACUCAACCUCUCUGUGCCUUCGUUUCCUUGUCUUUAAAAUGAGGAUUAAACUAGUUUUGACCUUGAGGGUUUUUUUUUUUUUAAAU
RNAcentral lists this long non-coding RNA (1421 nucleotides) under Equus asinus (donkey). Its description in RNAcentral is "lncRNA (ENSEASG00005024397.1)". The record is from RNAcentral. Lineage: Eukaryota; Metazoa; Chordata; Mammalia; Perissodactyla; Equidae.